UCGAGCGGACAGAUGGGAGCUUGCUCCUCUGAUGUUAGCGGCGGACGGGUGAGUAACACGUGGGUAACCUGCCUGUAAGACUGGGAUAACUCCGGGAAACCGGGGCUAAUACCGGAUGGUUGUUUGAACCGACAUGGUUCAAACAUAAAAGGUGGCUUCGGCUACCACUUACAGAUGGACCCGCGGCGCAUUAGCUAGUUGGUGAGGUAAUGCCUCACCAAGGCUACGAUGCGUAGCCGACCUGAGAGGGUGAUCGGCC
RNAcentral lists this ribosomal RNA (259 nucleotides) under Bacillus sp. PD-11. RNAcentral's name for it is "partial 16S ribosomal RNA". It matches the Rfam family "Bacterial small subunit ribosomal RNA", at positions 62 to 309 of the family's 1533-position model. Lineage: Bacteria; Bacillati; Bacillota; Bacilli; Caryophanales; Bacillaceae. The record is from RNAcentral.